Pogoniulus pusillus (Red-fronted tinkerbird) is the source of this 825-nucleotide long non-coding RNA. RefSeq lists it as uncharacterized. The record is from RefSeq and is a predicted model, not a curated record. The transcript has 2 exons. Lineage: Eukaryota; Metazoa; Chordata; Aves; Piciformes; Lybiidae.
CUGCGCCGGCCGGGCCGCGGGGAUUAGCGGCAGCGGGCGGGCGGCUGCCCCGUGUGCCGCCCCCCCACGCACCCUCCACCGCUUGCCACAGCUCCAGUGGUCCCACACUAAACUCUGCCGCUCACUGAGGGUCACAGGGACCGGCGAGCAGAGCGAGCCCCACUCCUGCCCGAUGCCCUCGACGCCCUACUGGCACACCCAGCCCCGGCUGCUGGGCAAAGGACGUGUCGCAAGCCGCUGCUAGUGGUUACUGCAGCGUGUGAAACCGAGUGCGCAGCCCAGCUCGGCACGGACCAGCUGCAUUACCGGACCGAAAUCAGCAGGUGCUGCUCCGCGGCUGGUGCCGAUGCCCUGCCCACCGUGCUCCAGCACGGCUUCUGCUUGGCACGAAGCGCGGCUUCUCGCUGGGAAGCGCGGGCAGGGUGCUGAGGCUUGGUGCAAAGGUAAUGCCAGCCGUGGGGGAGAGGCUGCCCGCCCGCUGCCGAGUCGAUCGAUUUGUAAUUAGGGAGGUGGAAAAGACUUAACCUGUAACGCAGCUGCCCCCAGAACAUCCUCCUCACCUGGGGAGGAUGCCUGGCUGUGCCGCCCUGCCGGUAAGUCCCCACGGCAAGAGCGUGGUGCCAGGGGGAUGCCAUGGCACAGCUAGCUGAGAUGGCAGAGGAGCCGCUCUCCACCUCUCCAAGAGACCUCUAGGGCUGAGUGAUCUGACCGUACACACCCAGUGUCCCCAACACACGGCAAACACCCAGUGCCACCAGCACAGCCGGCUCUGUGCCACGAUGCCCACCCAACCUCACCAGCAGCACGACCUCCACCAGCCCCUAA